GAUUCUGGCUCCGAAAACGUCUGGUGUAGUUUCUCUUCUCAAUGCAGCACGGCGAGCUAGACUCCUAAGCGUUCUGGGUCGAUAAUCCUCAACGAUACGUUAUGGGUUGCGGAUUUGGGUCUGGGUCGCGCCACCUGUUUUGGUGACGCCGGAUGGGCCAACCGUUGCUUCUGAACGAGGCAGUUAUGCUCGUUAACUGCAGAGGACGAAGCACGGUCGUGAUCGCUCAACUGGAGGCACUUUGGCUAUCUGCACGCAAGAGACAGUAUAGACCACGUCUUUUGGGGCAUCUCUACACCCCUCGGGGCUCGAACGAAGGGAACUUGAUCGAUCUGGAGGUAUGCAUCCGCAUUUGGCUGCAGAGAAGAUUCACUGAUAGCAGCGCUGGAUGCCGCACCUGGUAUUUGGCGCCCGCGAGCCCGCUUCAACGAAGGUGAUGAAGUCGUAUCGUACGGAUCCAUGGAUAUCUGGGGCAACGAGGAGAACGGGAGCCAUUCAAGAGGACGGAUAGCCCGGGUGGAAUCGUUGAUGGCAGAGGCGUCGCAGGCAUCUUCCGCUGGUGGCAAUGGUGAUCCGGCAUGGGAAGUCUGAAAACGCUGUAUUGGAGGACGCUGCAGCAUUGCAAGGCCUGCUGGCCUCGUUUCAAGGACAACGAUAAAUACGACAUACACGUGAAGCAGCAGUCUAGUUAGCGUGCUCGAUCUAUGAACCAUCCGCGAGCGAGAGCACGUUGGUAAGACGUGCGCAGCCCAUGUCUUGAGACACAGACGCCUGCUCCAAUGCAGCCUCGCUAAAAAAAAGGUGCGACGACACUACGCCAGGAAACAACUGUCGUGAAACGACACUCAGGGGCCGCGAGCCCACAAGGGUCCUACUCCUGGCUACGAAGCUGCAGAUAGUCACCUGCGAGCCGGUUCUGAGCCCCCCUUGAGGAGAAUGAAAACCGGCUGACGUUGGCGGUCUAUGUCAAAGCGGGUGCCCUGUGGCACCGACGCGGACGACGACACUCAGAGCUUUCGCUUCUGAGCCAUCUGUUUCACACCUAUCGCGUCUGUAGGUGUGGAACCAGAGGCACCGAAACGUCUUCCGCAAGCGCGCCUAACGGCCUUGUACUCCAAGAACUACGGCACGGAGUGCGCUCGUGAGUAGGUUCGCUUCUGACUCGUUUUCAUCCAGCAAGCUCGGCGGAGCAGAACUCGCCCAAACCGCAACGAGUAACGGUUUGCGUGUACAUAGCUCCCCAAAGGUCCAGCAAGUAAACCGAACGCCUCCGGAGAGCGAAUCAAGUGACGCGCAAGGGAAAUGGGGGGAAACCCACUCUGUCCGCGGGAGUAGACACUCAGCGGUACCGUUGCACCGUACUGUGUGAUCUUCCAGCGGACGCCCACAGAGACGUCACAAGUGUCGGCUCCGUGUGCGUCGCUGGCCCAAGACAGAG
RNA transcript from Cyanidioschyzon merolae strain 10D, 1438 nucleotides. RefSeq lists it as hypothetical. The record is from RefSeq and is a predicted model, not a curated record. NCBI's taxonomy places the organism in Eukaryota, Rhodophyta, Bangiophyceae, Cyanidiales, Cyanidiaceae. The transcript has a single exon.